GGGGGAUAACACCUGGAAACAGAUGCUAAUACCGCAUAACAACUUGGACCGCAUGGUCCGAGUUUGAAAGAUGGCUUCGGCUAUCACUUUUGGAUGGUCCCGCGGCGUAUUAGCUAGAUGGUGGGGUAACGGCUCACCAUGGCAAUGAUACGUAGCCGACCUGAGAGGGUAAUCGGCCACAUUGGGACUGAGACACGGCCCAAACUCCUACGGGAGGCAGCAGUAGGGAAUCUUCCACAAUGGACGAAAGUCUGAUGGAGCAACGCCGCGUGAGUGAAGAAGGGUUUCGGCUCGUAAAACUCUGUUGUUAAAGAAGAACAUAUCUGAGAGUAACUGUUCAGGUAUUGACGGUAUUUAACCAGAAAGCCACGGCUAACUACGUGCCAGCAGCCGCGGUAAUACGUAGGUGGCAAGCGUUGUCCGGAUUUAUUGGGCGUAAAGCGAGCGCAGGCGGUUUUUUAAGUCUGAUGUGAAAGCCUUCGGCUCAACCGAAGAAGUGCAUCGGAAACUGGGAAACUUGAGUGCAGAAGAGGACAGUGGAACUCCAUGUGUAGCGGUGAAAUGCGUAGAUAUAUGGAAGAACACCAGUGGCGAAGGCGGCUGUCUGGUCUGUAACUGACGCUGAGGCUCGAAAGUAUGGGUAGCAAACAGGAUUAGAUACCCUGGUAGUCCAUACCGUAAACGAUGAAUGCUAAGUGUUGGAGGGUUUCCGCCCUUCAGUGCUGCAGCUAACGCAUUAAGCAUUCCGCCUGGGGAGUACGGCCGCAAGGCUGAAACUCAAAGGAAUUGACGGGGGCCCGCACAAGCGGUGGAGCAUGUGGUUUAAUUCGAAGCUACGCGAAGAACCUUACCAGGUCUUGACAUACUAUGCAAAUCUAAGAGAUUAGACGUUCCCUUCGGGGACAUGGAUACAGGUGGUGCAUGGUUGUCGUCAGCUCGUGUCGUGAGAUGUUGGGUUAAGUCCCGCAACGAGCGCAACCCUUAUUAUCAGUUGCCAGCAUUAAGUUGGGCACUCUGGUGAGACUGCCGGUGACAAACCGGAGGAAGGUGGGGAUGACGUCAAAUCAUCAUGCCCCUUAUGACCUGGGCUACACACGUGCUACAAUGGAUGGUACAACGAGUUGCGAACUCGCGAGAGUAAGCUAAUCUCUUAAAGCCAUUCUCAGUUCGGAUUGUAGGCUGCAACUCGCCUACAUGAAGUCGGAAUCGCUAGUAAUCGCGGAUCAGCAUGCCGCGGUGAAUACGUU
RNAcentral lists this ribosomal RNA (1247 nucleotides) under Lactiplantibacillus pentosus. RNAcentral describes it as "bacterial SSU rRNA". It matches the Rfam family "Bacterial small subunit ribosomal RNA", at positions 138 to 1372 of the family's 1533-position model. Lineage: Bacteria; Bacillati; Bacillota; Bacilli; Lactobacillales; Lactobacillaceae. The record is from RNAcentral.